GGGUUGUGAGGUUAAGCGACUAAGCGUACACGGUGGAUGCCCUGGCAGUCAGAGGCGAUGAAGGACGUGCUAAUCUGCGAUAAGCGUCGGUAAGGUGAUAUGAACCGUUAUAACCGGCGAUUUCCGAAUGGGGAAACCCAGUGUGAUUCGUCAUACUAUCAUUAACUGAAUCCAUAGGUUAAUGAGGCGAACCGGGGGAACUGAAACAUCUAAGUACCCCGAGGAAAAGAAAUCAACCGAGAUUCCCCCAGUAGCGGCGAGCGAACGGGGAGGAGCCCAGAGCCUGAAUCAGUGUGUGUGUUAGUGGAAGCGUCUGGAAAGGCGCGCGAUACAGGGUGACAGCCCCGUACACAAAAAUGCACAUACUGUGAGCUCGAUGAGUAGGGCGGGACACGUGGUAUCCUGUCUGAAUAUGGGGGGACCAUCCUCCAAGGCUAAAUACUCCUGACUGACCGAUAGUGAACCAGUACCGUGAGGGAAAGGCGAAAAGAACCCCGGCGAGGGGAGUGAAAAAGAACCUGAAACCGUGUACGUACAAGCAGUGGGAGCCUCUUUAUGGGGUGACUGCGUACCUUUUGUAUAAUGGGUCAGCGACUUAUAUUCUGUAGCAAGGUUAACCGAAUAGGGGAGCCGAAGGGAAACCGAGUCUUAACUGGGCGUUAAGUUGCAGGGUAUAGACCCGAAACCCGGUGAUCUAGCCAUGGGCAGGUUGAAGGUUGGGUAACACUAACUGGAGGACCGAACCGACUAAUGUUGAAAAAUUAGCGGAUGACUUGUGGCUGGGGGUGAAAGGCCAAUCAAACCGGGAGAUAGCUGGUUCUCCCCGAAAGCUAUUUAGGUAGCGCCUCGUGAAUUCAUCUCCGGGGGUAGAGCACUGUUUCGGCAAGGGGGUCAUCCCGACUUACCAACCCGAUGCAAACUGCGAAUACCGGAGAAUGUUAUCACGGGAGACACACGGCGGGUGCUAACGUCCGUCGUGAAGAGGGAAACAACCCAGACCGCCAGCUAAGGUCCCAAAGUCAUGGUUAAGUGGGAAACGAUGUGGGAAGGCCCAGACAGCCAGGAUGUUGGCUUAGAAGCAGCCAUCAUUUAAAGAAAGCGUAAUAGCUCACUGGUCGAGUCGGCCUGCGCGGAAGAUGUAACGGGGCUAAACCAUGCACCGAAGCUGCGGCAGCGACACUAUGUGUUGUUGGGUAGGGGAGCGUUCUGUAAGCCUGCGAAGGUGUACUGUGAGGUAUGCUGGAGGUAUCAGAAGUGCGAAUGCUGACAUAAGUAACGAUAAAGCGGGUGAAAAGCCCGCUCGCCGGAAGACCAAGGGUUCCUGUCCAACGUUAAUCGGGGCAGGGUGAGUCGACCCCUAAGGCGAGGCCGAAAGGCGUAGUCGAUGGGAAACAGGUUAAUAUUCCUGUACUUGGUGUUACUGCGAAGGGGGGACGGAGAAGGCUAUGUUGGCCGGGCGACGGUUGUCCCGGUUUAAGCGUGUAGGCUGGUUUUCCAGGCAAAUCCGGAAAAUCAAGGCUGAGGCGUGAUGACGAGGCACUACGGUGCUGAAGCAACAAAUGCCCUGCUUCCAGGAAAAGCCUCUAAGCAUCAGGUAACAUCAAAUCGUACCCCAAACCGACACAGGUGGUCAGGUAGAGAAUACCAAGGCGCUUGAGAGAACUCGGGUGAAGGAACUAGGCAAAAUGGUGCCGUAACUUCGGGAGAAGGCACGCUGAUAUGUAGGUGAAGCGACUUGCUCGUGGAGCUGAAAUCAGUCGAAGAUACCAGCUGGCUGCAACUGUUUAUUAAAAACACAGCACUGUGCAAACACGAAAGUGGACGUAUACGGUGUGACGCCUGCCCGGUGCCGGAAGGUUAAUUGAUGGGGUUAGCGGUAACGCGAAGCUCUUGAUCGAAGCCCCGGUAAACGGCGGCCGUAACUAUAACGGUCCUAAGGUAGCGAAAUUCCUUGUCGGGUAAGUUCCGACCUGCACGAAUGGCGUAAUGAUGGCCAGGCUGUCUCCACCCGAGACUCAGUGAAAUUGAACUCGCUGUGAAGAUGCAGUGUACCCGCGGCAAGACGGAAAGACCCCGUGAACCUUUACUAUAGCUUGACACUGAACAUUGAGCCUUGAUGUGUAGGAUAGGUGGGAGGCUUUGAAGUGUGGACGCCAGUCUGCAUGGAGCCGACCUUGAAAUACCACCCUUUAAUGUUUGAUGUUCUAACGUUGACCCGUAAUCCGGGUUGCGGACAGUGUCUGGUGGGUAGUUUGACUGGGGCGGUCUCCUCCUAAAGAGUAACGGAGGAGCACGAAGGUUGGCUAAUCCUGGUCGGACAUCAGGAGGUUAGUGCAAUGGCAUAAGCCAGCUUGACUGCGAGCGUGACGGCGCGAGCAGGUGCGAAAGCAGGUCAUAGUGAUCCGGUGGUUCUGAAUGGAAGGGCCAUCGCUCAACGGAUAAAAGGUACUCCGGGGAUAACAGGCUGAUACCGCCCAAGAGUUCAUAUCGACGGCGGUGUUUGGCACCUCGAUGUCGGCUCAUCACAUCCUGGGGCUGAAGUAGGUCCCAAGGGUAUGGCUGUUCGCCAUUUAAAGUGGUACGCGAGCUGGGUUUAGAACGUCGUGAGACAGUUCGGUCCCUAUCUGCCGUGGGCGCUGGAGAACUGAGGGGGGCUGCUCCUAGUACGAGAGGACCGGAGUGGACGCAUCACUGGUGUUCGGGUUGUCAUGCCAAUGGCACUGCCCGGUAGCUAAAUGCGGAAGAGAUAAGUGCUGAAAGCAUCUAAGCACGAAACUUGCCCCGAGAUGAGUUCUCCCUGACUCCUUGAGAGUCCUGAAGGAACGUUGAAGACGACGACGUUGAUAGGCCGGGUGUGUAAGCGCAGCGAUGCGUUGAGCUAACCGGUACUAAUGAACCGUGAGGCUUAACCUUACAACGCCGAAG
This 2925-nucleotide ribosomal RNA is filed under the name Escherichia coli. Its description in RNAcentral is "bacterial LSU rRNA". It matches the Rfam family "Bacterial large subunit ribosomal RNA". The record is from RNAcentral. Lineage: Bacteria; Pseudomonadati; Pseudomonadota; Gammaproteobacteria; Enterobacterales; Enterobacteriaceae.